RNAcentral lists this ribosomal RNA (1975 nucleotides) under human metagenome. RNAcentral describes it as "bacterial LSU rRNA". It matches the Rfam family "Bacterial large subunit ribosomal RNA", at positions 1 to 1976 of the family's 2925-position model. The record is from RNAcentral.
UAAAAUAAUUAAGGGCACACAAAGGAUGCCUAGGUAGUAAGAGCCGAUGAAGGACGUGGUAAGCUGCGAUAAGCCUAGAUAAGUUGCAAUCGAACGUAAGAGUCUAGGAUUUCCGAAUGGAGCAAUCUAUUAAGAUGGAGUCUUAAUACGAAAGAGGGAACCGCGUGAACUGAAACAUCUAAGUAACGCGAGGAAAAGAAAGUAAAAACGAUACCCAAAGUAGCGGCGAGCGAAAUGGGUCAAGCCUAAACCUUAAAUAUGUCAAGGAUACAGCCGUUGUAUUUAAGGGGUUGAGGGACAAAGUAGUGAAGAACUGUAAGAUAUUCAAUAUAGUGUAUUGAUGAAUUAGAAUUGUAUGGAAAGAUAAACCGCAGAAGGUGAGAGUCCUGUAUAAGUAAAUCCUUACACAUAUAACUUUGCUCCCAAGUAACAUGGAACACGAGGAAUUCUGUGUGAAUCAGUGAGGACCAUAUCUCAUAAGGCUAAAUACUCUUACUAACCGAUAGCGCAUAGUACCGUGAGGGAAAGGUGAAAAGAACCCCUGGAGGGGAGUGAAAUAGAACCUGAAAUUGUGUGCUUACAAGCGGUCAGAGCCCAUUUGGGUGAUGGCGUGCCUUUUGGAGAAUGAUCCUGCGAGUUACGUUAAACGGCGAGGUUAAGUAUAACGGAGCCGAAGGGAAACCAAGUCUUAAUAGGGCGAUUUAGUCGUUUGGCGUAGACGCGAAACCUGGUGAUCUAAACCUGUCCAGGAUGAAGCUGUGGUAAGACACAGUGGAGGUCCUAACCCACCGCCGUUGAAAAGUUGGGGGAUGAGGUAGGUUUAGGGGUGAAAAGCCAAUCGAACCAGGAGAUAGCUCGUUCUCUCCGAAAUGCAUCUAGGUGCAGCCUUGAGUGUUCAAUUAUGGGGGUAGAGCACUGAAUGAUCUAGGGGGCAUAUUGCUUACUGAAAUCAAUCAAACUCCAAAUACCAUAAUUUAUAGCUCAGGAGUGAGACCAUGGGAGUUAACUUCCAUUGUCAAAAGGGAAACAACCCAGACCACCAGCUAAGGUCCCUAAUUAUAACUAAGUGGGAAAGGAGGUGGAGAUUCACAAACAACUAGGAGGUUGGCUUAGAAGCAGCCAUACCUUUAAAGAGUGCGUAAUAGCUCACUAGUCGAGAGUCUCUGCGCCGACAAUGUAACGGGGCUAAGUUAUAAACCGAAGCUGUGGAAUCCUUAUGGAUUGGUAGGAGAGCGUUCUGUAGGCUGUUGAAGAAGAAGGGUAACCAACUUUGGAGGUAUCAGAAGUGAGAAUGCAGGAAUAAGUAGCGAGAAAGGGGGCGAGAAUCCCCCUCGCCGGAAGACCAAGGUUUUCAGGGUAAAGCUUGUCUUCCCUGAGUAAGCCGGGACCUAAGCCCAGGCUAUAAUGCGUAGGCGAAUGGAAAACAGAUUAAUAUUUCUGUGCCAGUCAUUUAUUGUGAUGGAGGGACGCAGAAGGGUAUGCGCGCGGACGAUCGGUUGUGUCCGUAGAAGUAUGUAGGGUGACUUAGUAGGUAAAUCCAUUAAGUUAUAUCUGAGGUAUGAUAUACAGUCGUAAGAUGAAUGUACAAAUCCCACGCUGCCAAGAAAAACUUCUAACGUUAAUAUAUGACUGCCCGUACUGUAAACCGACACAGGUGGUCAGGAUGAGAAAUCUAAGGCGGACAGGCUAACUCUCGUUAAGGAACUCUGCAAAAUAACCUCGUAACUUCGGGAGAAGAGGAGCCCUUGUGUGUGAGUAUACACGCGAUACAAAGCGCACGAGGGUCGCAGUGAAGAGGCUCAAGCAACUGUUUAACAAAAACACAGGUCUAUGCUAAGCUGUAAGGCGAUGUAUAUGGGCUGACACCUGCCCAGUGCUGGAAGGUUAAGAGGAGGAGUGAGAGCUCCGAAUUGAAGCCCCAGUGAACGGCGGCCGUAACUAUAACGGUCCUAAGGUAGCGAAAUUCCUUGUCGGG